Molecule: ribosomal RNA, 253 nt
Filed under: uncultured bacterium
Lineage: Bacteria
Description: partial 16S ribosomal RNA
Rfam family: Bacterial small subunit ribosomal RNA
Source: RNAcentral
UACAGAGGGUGCGAGCGUUGUCCGGAAUCAUUGGGCGUAAAGCGCGUGUAGGCGGUUCAGUAAGUCUGCUGUGAAAGUCCAGGGCUCAACCCUGGGAUGCCGGUGGAUACUGCUGGGCUAGAGUACGGAAGAGGCGAGUGGAAUUCCCGGUGUAGCGGUGAAAUGCGCAGAUAUCGGGAGGAACACCAAUUGCGAAGGCAGCUCGCUGGGACGUUACUGACGCUGAGACGCGAAAGCGUGGGGAGCAAACAGG